This 309-nucleotide ribosomal RNA is filed under the name uncultured bacterium. RNAcentral describes it as "partial 16S ribosomal RNA". It matches the Rfam family "Bacterial small subunit ribosomal RNA", at positions 504 to 807 of the family's 1533-position model. The record is from RNAcentral.
AGAGACAGCAGCCGCCGCGGGAAAACGGAGGGGGCUAGCGUUGUUCGGAAUUACUGGGCGUAAAGCGCACGUAGGCGGCUUGGUAUGUUAGAGGUGAAAGCCCGGAGCUCAACUCCGGAAUUGCCUUUAAGACUGCCGAGCUAGCAGCUGAGAGAGGUAAGUGGAAUUCCGAGUGUAGAGGUGAAAUUCGUAGAUAUUCGGAAGAACACCAGUGGCGAAGGCGGCUUACUGGCUCAUACUGGACGCUGAGGUGCGAAAGCGUGGGGAGCAAACAGGAUUAGAUACCCGCGUAGUCCCUGUCUCUUAUAC